CCAGAAGCUAGAUGAAUGCAGGCUCUCAGGAGAGGAAUCUAGGCUGGGGAGUAUAGAUUUACCAGGCGUUUGUUUAAAGGGAGUAGAGGACAAUAUAAGAUAGCCAGUGCGUGCAGGUGUGGGUGAGGAGAGACAGACCCGGGAGACUCGAGUCAAGGAGGGAGGGCUUAGGAGGGGUGAGAAGGGUGACAGAAAGAAAGCAGAGCAUGAGUCCAAGGAGCCAAGGGAAGACAGCAUCACAGAAGAGCAAGUAACCACAGUGCAGAAAAACCAGUUACGUAAAGUUCUGAGCAAUGCCCAGCGCCUCUAUAAACAAGCAGGUCCUUGGUGACCGCGACCGGAGACCUGUGUGGGGUGCCAGGUUGCAGGAAAUCGAAGAAUGAGUGGAGAACGAGGAAAAAGACAGUGAGUGGAGGCAAAUCCCAUUAGAAGCUUGUCUGGGAAGAGGGAGAAGAGAAGUAAAUGUAUUCCAGUCCUCUGAGUUCACCACGGCCACAUUCCCACAUGUGCUCUUUUCUCUCAUUGGAAUGGCUGCUUCUGAUUCUGCCCAUUUCACCAGGCUGGAAACUCAGAGUCAUCCCUGAAGAUGGCCACAAGUCACCUCCUUUCUGAUGCCCUUUCCUCUCCACUUCCAGGGAAGAAGCAAGACAUGAAAGGAAGCUACUCCAGGCCUUCGUGGUCCAGGUACAUGACUGCAGGAGGUUGGAUACAUGGAGCUGAUGCUUCCAAACCUUUAAGCUCUGUCUGGUAGAAGUCAGAUAUGGACCUCAUGGGGCUAAAAGCAGAGCUGUAUUUGUUCCCUGAAGCUCCUAGGGGAAGACUCUGGGUGCUCAUCUGCUUCUACAGGACGCCUGUAUCCUUGGCUUGAGGUUCCCGGCUUCCCUCUUGAAAGCCAGCAAUGGUUUUUUGAGACAGAGUCUGGCUAUGUAUCUAGUUCAGGCUGGCUGGCCUUGAACUCACAGCGAUCCUCCUACCUCAGCCUCCCAUGUGCUGCGAUCACAGCCAUGUGCCAGCACAUUCAACAGCCUAAUAUUUAAUUUUCUCAUGGGUAAUAUGGAAAGAAAAAUACCAACCUUUCAGACUUAUUGUGAGGAUAAGAUAAUAUGUAUAGGGUCUAGAAAAGGGACAUUUUCAAAUUCCCCUCCCCAUUUCCCAUUUUCCUUCUCCCGUAAGGGAAGAGUGGCUUUGACCAGGCCAUUUUCCCCAGUGUUCAGGGCCAUGUGGGCUGUGCGUGAACCAUGUACCUGGUGUAGCUCCUCUGGGGCCUUCUGUCCAUCUCCAGCUACCAGUGCCUGCUGUCAGAGUUGGAGAGAGGGAACAGCCAGACUUGGUUCACCUUGGUUCAGCUGGCAUCCGUUCUGGGUAGGCCUGGUCCGGGCCAUCCUGCUGGGGUCCAGUGCUGUCCCCUUUCCCAUGCACUCACCCCUGAGUCUCUCCUCUCUGCAGUCCUCUGUGAUGGUCAGAGGGAGGUAAUGGCCACAGGCUGAGGCAGAACUCAGGCCUUCGUGGGGUUCUUGACUUAAUGUGCUCUAAUUGGGUUCCAAACCAACCCUAACCUUCCACAUUGUUGAUACGAUAUUUUGGUUAUCUAUUGCUGUUUAAUAAAAGCCACUCUUAAAAAUAUUUUUUAAAAAAGGUCUCAUGAUAACGUGGAUUGGCCAGUGACGUCCUGCCGGUCGGUUCCGCUGCUCUCAUCUGGCUGUGUCACUCCACUGUCGCCGGACAUCUUAACUCAUGUCUUACCCCUUCUCAGCGGUGUGUGGAGGCCAGGCUCUCAGGGAUGCUGGCAAGGCCAGGCCUCUUGCUCUUACCACAUGGCCCAGGGCACCUCCCUCUCUGCUUGAAUUUCUCCAAAAAUGGUGGCUCAGAGUAUGAACGUGGAAGCUUCCAGGCCUUUCUAAGACUUAGGCCUGGAACAGGCACAGCAUCUCUGCUGCCAUAUUCUGAUUCUUAAAAUAAGUCAUAUGAUGCCACAUGCCUGUCGUCCCAGCUACUUGGGAGACUGAGGCAGGAGGACCUAAGGAUUACUUUGGGUUCUUUUAAAUUUUUUAUUUUAUUUAUUUAUUUAUUUAAGAUCUCAGGUUUGAGGCCAGCCUGGGCAACUUAGUGAGAUCCUAUCUCAAAAAUAAUUAAAUAGCCAGGCAUGGUGGCACACAUCUGUAAUCUUAGCACUCGGGAGGCUGAGGCAGGAGGAUCACCGUGAAUUCGAGC
Long non-coding RNA from Heterocephalus glaber (naked mole-rat), 2211 nucleotides. The record is from Ensembl. Lineage: Eukaryota; Metazoa; Chordata; Mammalia; Rodentia; Bathyergidae.